GAUGAAGAACGUAGCGAAAUGCGAUAAGUAGUGUGGUUUGCAGAAUUCAGUGAAUCAUCGAAUCUUUGAACGCACAUUGCGCCUCCUGGUAUUCCGGGAGGCAUGCCUGUUCGAGCGUCAUUAAAAUCACUCAAGCUUAGGUUUACCUAUUGCUUGGUCUUGGAGAUGGAAGCCAAUUCAUUGGAAUCCUCUUCGAAAUCCAAUGGCGAAGACCCUUGCUCUCCCAAGUGUAGUAAUAACUUAUGUCACUGAAGGAAGCGAGAAAUCUUCCGCCGUAACCCCCAUAUUUUCUAUGAUUGACCUCGGAUCAGGUAGGGAUACCCGCUGAACUUAAGCAUAUCAAUAAGCGGAGGA
Molecule: unclassified non-coding RNA, 354 nt
Filed under: soil metagenome
Description: partial contains 5.8S ribosomal RNA, internal transcribed spacer 2, and large subunit ribosomal RNA
Rfam family: 5.8S ribosomal RNA (bases 1-120)
Source: RNAcentral